Molecule: ribosomal RNA, 1168 nt
Filed under: Halalkalibacter nanhaiisediminis
Lineage: Bacteria; Bacillati; Bacillota; Bacilli; Caryophanales; Bacillaceae
Description: Bacillus nanhaiisediminis partial 23S ribosomal RNA
Rfam family: Bacterial large subunit ribosomal RNA
Source: RNAcentral
AAGCCCGAGAGAGCCGCAGUGAAAAGAUCCAAGCGACUGUUUAGCAAAAACACAGGUCUCUGCGAAGCCGCAAGGCGAAGUAUAGGGGCUGACACCUGCCCGGUGCUGGAAGGUUAAGAGGAGGGGUUAUCCCUUACGGGAGAAGCUCUGAAUUGAAGCCCCAGUAAACGGCGGCCGUAACUAUAACGGUCCUAAGGUAGCGAAAUUCCUUGUCGGGUAAGUUCCGACCCGCACGAAUGGUGUAACGAUUUGGAUACUGUCUCAACGAGAGACCCGGUGAAAUUAUAGUACCUGUGAAGAUGCAGGUUACCCGCGACAGGACGGAAAGACCCCAUGGAGCUUUACUGUAGCUUGAUAUUGGAUGUUGGUACAGUUUGUACAGGAUAGGUAGGAGCCUUGGAAACCGGAGCGCCAGCUUCGGUGGAGGCGUCGGUGGGAUACUACCCUGACUGUGCUGACAUUCUAACCUCGAGCCGUGAUCCGGUUCAGGGACAGUGUCAGGUGGGCAGUUUGACUGGGGCGGUCGCCUCCUAAACAGUAACGGAGGCGCCCAAAGGUUCCCUCAGAAUGGUUGGAAAUCAUUCGUAGAGUGCAAAGGCAUAAGGGAGCUUGACUGCGAGACCUACAAGUCGAGCAGGGACGAAAGUCGGGCUUAGUGAUCCGGUGGUUCCGCAUGGAAGGGCCAUCGCUCAACGGAUAAAAGCUACCCUGGGGAUAACAGGCUUAUCUCCCCCAAGAGUCCACAUCGACGGGGAGGUUUGGCACCUCGAUGUCGGCUCAUCGCAUCCUGGGGCUGAAGUAGGUCCCAAGGGUUGGGCUGUUCGCCCAUUAAAGCGGUACGCGAGCUGGGUUCAGAACGUCGUGAGACAGUUCGGUCCCUAUCCGUCGCGGGCGUAGGAAAUUUGAGAGGAGCUGUCCUUAGUACGAGAGGACCGGGAUGGACACACCGCUGGUGUACCAGUUGUUCCGCCAGGAGCAUCGCUGGGUAGCUACGUGUGGACGGGAUAAGUGCUGAAAGCAUCUAAGCAUGAAGCCCCCCUCAAGAUGAGAUUUCCCAUGGAGUUAAUCCAGUAAGACCCCUUAGAGAUGAUGAGGUUGAUAGGUCUGGUGUGGAAGCGUGGCGACACGUGGAGCUGACAGAUACUAAUCGGUCGAGGACUUAUCCAAA